Molecule: ribosomal RNA, 3158 nt
Filed under: Saccharomyces cerevisiae (brewer's yeast)
Lineage: Eukaryota; Fungi; Ascomycota; Saccharomycetes; Saccharomycetales; Saccharomycetaceae
Rfam family: Bacterial large subunit ribosomal RNA
Source: RNAcentral
AUAAUCAUGGAGUAUAAUAAUUAAAUUUAAUAAAUUUAAUAUAACUAUUAAUAGAAUUAGGUUACUAAUAAAUUAAUAACAAUUAAUUUUAAAACCUAAAGGUAAACCUUUAUAUUAAUAAUGUUAUUUUUUAUUAUAUUUAUAAUAAGAAUAAUUAUUAAUAAUAAUAAACUAAGUGAACUGAAACAUCUAAGUAACUUAAGGAUAAGAAAUCAACAGAGAUAUUAUGAGUAUUGGUGAGAGAAAAUAAUAAAGGUCUAAUAAGUAUUAUGUGAAAAAAAUGUAAGAAAAUAGGAUAACAAAUUCUAAGACUAAAUACUAUUAAUAAGUAUAGUAAGUACCGUAAGGGAAAGUAUGAAAAUGAUUAUUUUAUAAGCAAUCAUGAAUAUAUUAUAUUAUAUUAAUGAUGUACCUUUUGUAUAAUGGGUCAGCAAGUAAUUAAUAUUAGUAAAACAAUAAGUUAUAAAUAAAUAGAAUAAUAUAUAUAUAUAUAAAAAUAUAUUAAAAUAUUUAAUUAAUAUUAAUUGACCCGAAAGCAAACGAUCUAACUAUGAUAAGAUGGAUAAACGAUCGAACAGGUUGAUGUUGCAAUAUCAUCUGAUUAAUUGUGGUUAGUAGUGAAAGACAAAUCUGGUUUGCAGAUAGCUGGUUUUCUAUGAAAUAUAUGUAAGUAUAGCCUUUAUAAAUAAUAAUUAUUAUAUAAUAUUAUAUUAAUAUUAUAUAAAGAAUGGUACAGCAAUUAAUAUAUAUUAGGGAACUAUUAAAGUUUUAUUAAUAAUAUUAAAUCUCGAAAUAUUUAAUUAUAUAUAAUAAAGAGUCAGAUUAUGUGCGAUAAGGUAAAUAAUCUAAAGGGAAACAGCCCAGAUUAAGAUAUAAAGUUCCUAAUAAAUAAUAAGUGAAAUAAAUAUUAAAAUAUUAUAAUAUAAUCAGUUAAUGGGUUUGACAAUAACCAUUUUUUAAUGAACAUGUAACAAUGCACUGAUUUAUAAUAAAUAAAAAAAAAUAAUAUUUAAAAUCAAAUAUAUAUAUAUUUGUUAAUAGAUAAUAUACGGAUCUUAAUAAUAAGAAUUAUUUAAUUCCUAAUAUGGAAUAUUAUAUUUUUAUAAUAAAAAUAUAAAUACUGAAUAUCUAAAUAUUAUUAUUACUUUUUUUUUAAUAAUAAUAAUAUGGUAAUAGAACAUUUAAUGAUAAUAUAUAUUAGUUAUUAAUUAAUAUAUGUAUUAAUUAAAUAGAGAAUGCUGACAUGAGUAACGAAAAAAAGGUAUAAACCUUUUCACCUAAAACAUAAGGUUUAACUAUAAAAGUACGGCCCCUAAUUAAAUUAAUAAGAAUAUAAAUAUAUUUAAGAUGGGAUAAUCUAUAUUAAUAAAAAUUUAUCUUAAAAUAUAUAUAUUAUUAAUAAUUAUAUUAAUAAUAUAUAUAAUUAUAUUAUAUAUUUUUUUUUUAUAUAAUAUAAACUAAUAAAGAUCAGGAAAUAAUUAAUGUAUACCGUAAUGUAGACCGACUCAGGUAUGUAAGUAGAGAAUAUGAAGGUGAAUUAGAUAAUUAAAGGGAAGGAACUCGGCAAAGAUAGCUCAUAAGUUAGUCAAUAAAGAGUAAUAAGAACAAAGUUGUACAACUGUUUACUAAAAACACCGCACUUUGCAGAAACGAUAAGUUUAAGUAUAAGGUGUGAACUCUGCUCCAUGCUUAAUAUAUAAAUAAAAUUAUUUAACGAUAAUUUUAUUAAAUUUAGGUAAAUAGCAGCCUUAUUAUGAGGGUUAUAAUGUAGCGAAAUUCCUUGGCCUAUAAUUGAGGUCCCGCAUGAAUGACGUAAUGAUACAACAACUGUCUCCCCUUUAAGCUAAGUGAAAUUGAAAUCGUAGUGAAGAUGCUAUGUACCUUCAGCAAGACGGAAAGACCCUAUGCAGCUUUACUGUAAUUAGAUAGAUCGAAUUAUUGUUUAUUAUAUUCAGCAUAUUAAGUAAUCCUAUUAUUAGGUAAUCGUUUAGAUAUUAAUGAGAUACUUAUUAUAAUAUAAUGAUAAUUCUAAUCUUAUAAAUAAUUAUUAUUAUUAUUAAUAAUAAUAAUAUGCUUUCAAGCAUAGUGAUAAAACAUAUUUAUAUGAUAAUCACUUUACUUAAUAGAUAUAAUUCUUAAGUAAUAUAUAAUAUAUAUUAUAUAUAUAUUAUAUAUAAUAUAAGAGACAAUCUCUAAUUGGUAGUUUUGAUGGGGCGUCAUUAUCAGCAAAAGUAUCUGAAUAAGUCCAUAAAUAAAUAUAUAAAAUUAUUGAAUAAAAAAAAUAAUAUAUAUUAUAUAUAUUAAUUAUAAAUUGAAAUAUGUUUAUAUAAAUUUAUAUUUAUUGAAUAUAUUUUAGUAAUAGAUAAAAAUAUGUACAGUAAAAUUGUAAGGAAAACAAUAAUAACUUUCUCCUCUCUCGGUGGGGGUUCACACCUAUUUUUAAUAGGUGUUCACCCCUCUUCGGGGUUCCGGUUCCCUUUCGGGUCCCGGAACUUAAAUAAAAAUGGAAAGAAUUAAAUUAAUAUAAUGGUAUAACUGUGCGAUAAUUGUAACACAAACGAGUGAAACAAGUACGUAAGUAUGGCAUAAUGAACAAAUAACACUGAUUGUAAAGGUUAUUGAUAACGAAUAAAAGUUACGCUAGGGAUAACAGGGUAAUAUAACGAAAGAGUAGAUAUUGUAAGUUAUGUUUGCCACCUCGAUGUCGACUCAACAUUUCCUCUUGGUUGUAAAAGCUAAGAAGGGUUUGACUGUUCGUCAAUUAAAAUGUUACGUGAGUUGGGUUAAAUACGAUGUGAAUCAGUAUGGUUCCUAUCUGCUGAAGGAAAUAUUAUCAAAUUAAAUCUCAUUAUUAGUACGCAAGGACCAUAAUGAAUCAACCCAUGGUGUAUCUAUUGAUAAUAAUAUAAUAUAUUUAAUAAAAAUAAUACUUUAUUAAUAUAUUAUCUAUAUUAGUUUAUAUUUUAAUUAUAUAUUAUCAUAGUAGAUAAGCUAAGUUGAUAAUAAAUAAAUAUUGAAUACAUAUUAAAUAUGAAGUUGUUUUAAUAAGAUAAUUAAUCUGAUAAUUUUAUACUAAAAUUAAUAAUUAUAGGUUUUAUAUAUUAUUUAUAAAUAAAUAUAUUAUAAUAAUAAUAAUUAUUAUUAUUAAUAAAAAAUAU